RNAcentral lists this transfer RNA (72 nucleotides) under Bos taurus (domestic cattle). It matches the Rfam family "tRNA". From Rfam's summary of the family: Transfer RNA (tRNA) molecules are approximately 80 nucleotides in length. Their secondary structure includes four short double-helical elements and three loops (D, anti-codon, and T loops). Further hydrogen bonds mediate the characteristic L-shaped molecular structure. tRNAs have two regions of fundamental functional importance: the anti-codon, which is responsible for specific mRNA codon recognition, and the 3' end, to which the tRNAs corresponding amino acid is attached (by aminoacyl-tRNA synthetases). tRNAs cope with the degeneracy of the genetic code in two manners: having more than one tRNA (with a specific anti-codon) for a particular amino acid; and 'wobble' base-pairing, i.e. permitting non-standard base-pairing at the 3rd anti-codon position. RNAcentral also lists the same sequence under 4 other names. Lineage: Eukaryota; Metazoa; Chordata; Mammalia; Artiodactyla; Bovidae. The record is from Rfam by way of RNAcentral.
UCCCUGGUGGCUCAGAGGUUAAAGCGUCUGCCUGCAAUGCUGGAGACCUGGGUUCGAUCCCUGGGUUGGGAA